CACUCCUGCGGGAGGCAGCAGUGGGGAAUUUUGGACAAUGGGCGAAAGCCUGAUCCAGCAAUGCCGCGUGAGUGAAGAAGGCCUUCGGGUUGUAAAGCUCUUUUGUCAGGGAAGAAACGGUGAGAGCUAAUAUCUUUUGCUAAUGACGGUACCUGAAGAAUAAGCACCGGCUAACUACGUGCCAGCAGCCGCGGUAAUACGUAGGGUGCAAGCGUUAAUCGGAAUUACUGGGCGUAAAGCGUGCGCAGGCGGUUUUGUAAGUCUGAUGUGAAAUCCCCGGGCUCAACCUGGGAAUUGCAUUGGAGACUGCAAGGCUAGAAUCUGGCAGAGGGGGGUAGAAUUCCACGUGUAGCAGUGAAAUGCGUAGAUAUGUGGAGGAACACCGAUGGCGAAGGCAGCCCCCUGGGUCAAGAUUGACGCUCAUGCACGAAAGCGUGGGGAGCAAACAGGAUUAGAAACCCCAGUAGUCCCAUG
RNAcentral lists this ribosomal RNA (474 nucleotides) under uncultured organism. RNAcentral's name for it is "partial 16S ribosomal RNA". It matches the Rfam family "Bacterial small subunit ribosomal RNA", at positions 334 to 799 of the family's 1533-position model. The record is from RNAcentral.